GGGAUGGAGGGGUGGAUGCUGGGGUUGUUGGGUUUGGUGGAGGCUGGGGUAAGACUGUGGAGGAGUAGGGGUGGACGCUAAGGGUGUUUGGUGGGGUGGAGGAUGGGGAGGGUUUGAGGGAGUAGGGGUAGAUGGUGAGUUCAGCUACAUGCUACUGUAGGUUACUCCCCCAUAUGGCUGAGUUCUGUUCAGCUACUUUAGGUUACUCUCCCAUACGGCUAAGUUCUGUUCAGCUGCUUUAGGUUACUCUCCCAUAUGGCUGAGUUGACUGUUCAGCUACUGUAGGUUAUUCUCCCAUAUGGCUGAGUUGACUUUUCAGCUACAUGCUACUGUAGGUUAUUCUCCCAUGCUACUGUAGGUUACUCUCCCAUGCUACUGUAGGUUACUCUCAUGCUACAGUAGGUUACUCUCCCAUGCUACAGUAGGUUACUCUCCCAUGCUACAGUAGGUUACUCUCUCCCAUGCUACUGUAGGUUACUCUCCCAUGCUACUGUAGGUUACUCUCUCAUGCUACUGUAGGUUACUCUCCCAUGCUACUGUAGGUUACUCUCCCAUGCUACAGUAGGUUACUCUCCCAUAUGACUGUAGGUUACUCUCCCAUGCUACUGUAGGUUACUCUCCCAAGCUACUGUAGGUUACUCUCCCAUGCUACUGUAGGUUACUCUCCCAUGCUACUGUAGGUUACUCUCCCAUGCUACUGUAGGUUACUCUCCCAAGCUACUGUAGGUUACUCUCCCAUGCUACUGUAG
Molecule: long non-coding RNA, 749 nt
Filed under: Salmo salar (Atlantic salmon)
Lineage: Eukaryota; Metazoa; Chordata; Actinopteri; Salmoniformes; Salmonidae
Description: lncRNA (ENSSSAG00000122011.1)
Source: RNAcentral